This 484-nucleotide ribosomal RNA is filed under the name uncultured bacterium. RNAcentral's name for it is "partial 16S ribosomal RNA". It matches the Rfam family "Bacterial small subunit ribosomal RNA", at positions 28 to 507 of the family's 1533-position model. The record is from RNAcentral.
AUUGAACGCUGGCGGCAUGCUUUACACAUGCAAGUCGAACGGCAGCGCGGGCUUCGGCCUGGCGGCGAGUGGCGAACGGGUGAGUAAUGCAUCGGAACGUGCCCAGUAGUGGGGGAUAGCCCGGCGAAAGCCGGAUUAAUACCGCAUACGACCUGAGGGUGAAAGCGGGGGAUCGAAAGGCCUCGCGCUAUUGGAGCGGCCGAUGUCGGAUUAGCUAGUUGGUGGGGUAAAGGCUUACCAAGGCGACGAUCCGUAGCUGGUCUGAGAGGACGACCAGCCACACUGGGACUGAGACACGGCCCAGACUCCUACGGGAGGCAGCAGUGGGGAAUUUUGGACAAUGGGGGCAACCCUGAUCCAGCCAUGCCGCGUGCGGGAAGAAGGCCUUCGGGUUGUAAACCGCUUUUGUUCGGGAAGAAAUCCUCUGGGCUAAUACCCCGGGGGGAUGACGGUACCGGAAGAAUAAGCACCGGCUAACUACGUG